Molecule: ribosomal RNA, 1107 nt
Filed under: Triticum aestivum (bread wheat)
Lineage: Eukaryota; Viridiplantae; Streptophyta; Magnoliopsida; Poales; Poaceae
Description: partial small subunit ribosomal RNA
Source: RNAcentral
AUGGAUGUUGAAGUUCAUGAGAUUGAUUCUGAUGAAAACAAUACUUCCCCUGGUGUCUUCAUGAAGAAGUCAACUACCAUUGAGCAAGAAAAAAAGAAGUCCACUGGAAGUGGAUCAAAAGAAACUGGAAGAGGGCAAAAAUGGACAGCCGACGAUGCCAUAUUAGCAAUUGACCACCUUGCAGAUGCAUCACUUAGCAUUGCUGAAGCGAAGAAAACAGUAGCACAACAAAAUGAAGCUUACUCGGUUAAAUCAUGUAUGGCAAUAUUAAAUAGUAUGAGUAAUCUAGAUCACAAAGAGAAACUAAAAGCGGUCAAGGCAUUUACAGAUGAUCCAAGCAAUCAAGUCCCAUCCAAAAUAUUGGGUGAUGCAAGGUUCUACCCAUAUUUCAAGAACUGUCUAGGAGCAAUUGACGGGACACACAUUGAGGCGAAAAUCAGGCUUGAUAAGCAAACUCCUUACAGAAAUAGGCAUGGUUAUCCGUCUCAAAAUGUAAUGGCAGCAGUGUCAUUUGACAUGACAUUCUCUUAUGUCGCUGCUGGAUGGGAGGGUUCUGCAUCGGAUCAAGCUGUUCUAAGAUGGGCUGUUACUAGUGGGGGUUUGGUUGUUCCUGAAGGCAAAUUUUAUCUUGUUGAUUCAGGCUAUGCAAAUACUCCAAAAUUUAUUGCCCCAUAUCGCGGAGAUCGCUAUCAUAUUGCUUCUUUUCGUGGAUGUAAUCGGAGAUAUACUGGUGAGAAGGAUUUGUUCAACCAUGUGCAUGCACAGCUGCGGAACAUUGUGGAACAAACCUUUGGUGUUCUGAAAGCUCGUUUUCCAAUUCUAAGUAGGAAAGGAGGAAUUCCUUAUCCAUAUAGAACCCAAGUUAAAAUUGUUAUGGCUUGUUGCAUCAUCCACAACUUCAUAAGGAAGGUUAAUGAGCCUGAUGAGUUGUUUGAGCUUUAUGAGCAUGGGGAAACACAAGAAAAUGUUGACCAUGGUGAUCAACAAGUUCGUGGGCAAGCAAGAGAAGAUAAUCGAGUUGCUGGUGAGAGAGUUCGUGCUGGCAUCGCUCAACAAUUGUGGACUAAUCAUCAACGACGUGUGAACCGACAACAACAAGAUGAUUAA